GACGAACGCUGGCGGCGUGCUUAACACAUGCAAGUCGAACGGAAAGGCCCUGCUUUUGUGGGGUGCUCGAGUGGCGAACGGGUGAGUAACACGUGAGUAACCUGCCCUUGACUUUGGGAUAACUUCAGGAAACUGGGGCUAAUACCGGAUAGGAGCUCCUGCUGCAUGGUGGGGGUUGAAAGUUUCGGCGGUUGGGGAUGGACUCGCGGCUUAUCAGCUUGUUGGUGGGGUAGUGGCUUACCAAGGCUUUGACGGGUAGCCGGCCUGAGAGGGUGACCGGCCACAUUGGGACUGAGAUACGGCCCAGACUCCUACGGGAGGCAGCAGUGGGGAAUAUUGCACAAUGGGCGGAAGCCUGAUGCGGCAACGCCGCGUGCGGGAUGACGGCCUUCGGGUUGUAAACCGCUUUCGCCUGUGACGAAGCGUGAGUGACGGUAAUGGGUAAAGAAGCACCGGCUAACUACGUG
RNAcentral lists this ribosomal RNA (467 nucleotides) under uncultured bacterium. Its description in RNAcentral is "partial 16S ribosomal RNA". It matches the Rfam family "Bacterial small subunit ribosomal RNA", at positions 28 to 507 of the family's 1533-position model. The record is from RNAcentral.